This 1477-nucleotide unclassified non-coding RNA is filed under the name uncultured fungus. RNAcentral describes it as "sequence contains 18S rRNA gene, ITS1, 5.8S rRNA gene, ITS2, 28S rRNA gene". The stretch from base 503 to 1477 matches the Rfam family "Eukaryotic large subunit ribosomal RNA", at positions 1 to 961 of the family's 3401-position model. Lineage: Eukaryota; Fungi. The record is from RNAcentral.
GGAAGGAUUAUUGCCGAUGAAAGAGCGCUCGCAAGAGGCUCGACAUCCCAAUCCCACACACUGUGCACUUGAAUCCCAUUACAUUUUUGUAACACUUAUAUUUAAAAGUCGAAUAUGUUUUUAUGAAAAUUAUAAAAACUUUCAGCAACGGAUCUCUUGGCUCUCGCAUCGAUGAAGGACGCAGCGAAAUGCGAUACGUAAUGUGAAUUGCAGAUUUAACAGAAUCAUCGAAUCUUUGAACGCACCUUGCACUCUUUUGUUAUUCAGAAGAGUAUGCCUGUUUGAGUGUCGCGAACCUCUCAACCCCGCCCAGGUAAUACUGGGUUGUUUGGGCUUGGAUCUUGAUCAUUGUCGGCUGUUCGUUAGAAACCGACUUGAUUUAAAUGUAACAAGCUGAAUCAUAACAUUUGCGGCUUGACCUGACGUUGUAAAUCAACUCGUUGGGGACGCAGUGUGUGAAUGAGCUUUGUAAAUAAAUAACUUGCAGUGAUGCAGUACAUUCAGACCUCAAAUCAGGUAGGACUACCCGCUGAACUUAAGCAUAUCAAUAAGCGGAGGAAAAGAAACUAACAAGGAUUCCCCUAGUAACGGCGAGUGAAGUGGGAAGAGCUCAACUUUGUAAUCUGGCUGCUUUGCAGUCCGAGUUGUAGUCUAGAGAAACAUGAUCCGCGUUGGACCUUGCAGAUGUCUGUUGGAAUGCAGUAUCAAAGAGGGUGAGAAUCCCGUACAUAGCAAGGACGCCCAGUGCAUUGUGAUCUGUUUUCAACGAGUCGAGUUGUUUGGGAAUGCAGCUCAAAUCGGGUGGUAAAUUCCAUCUAAAGCUAAAUAACGGCGAGAGACCGAUAGCGAACAAGUACCGUGAGGGAAAGAUGAAAAGCACUUUGGAAAGAGAAUGAAACAGUAUGUGAAAUUGCUGGAAGGGAAACGAUUGAAGUUAGACUUGCGCGGCAUGUAUUCAGCCUUACCUCGGUUUGGUGUAUUUAUGUGUCAUUGCAGGCCAGCAUCAGUUUGCUUCGCCGUAAAAGGGUUUGGGGAACGUGGCUUCUUCGGAAGUGUUAUAGCCCCUUACUGGAUGCGGAGUCGCAGACUGAGGAACGCAGCGCGCCAUUACGGCAGUUUCUUUAGAUUCAAAGCGCUUAGGAUGCUGGUAGAAUAGCUUUAAACGACCCGUCUUGAAACACGGACCAAGGAGUCUAACAUGCCUGCGAGUGUUUGGGUGUCAAACCCGAGCGCGAAAUGAAAGUGAAUGAAGGUGGGAUCUGUAAAAGGAGCACCAUCGACCGAUCUUGACCUAUUGUGACGGAUUUGAGUAAGAGCAUGUAUGUUGGGACCCGAAAGAUGGUGAACUAUGCCUGAAUAGGGUGAAGCCAGAGGAAACUCUGGUGGAGGCUCGUAGCGAUUCUGACGUGCAAAUCGAUCGUCAAAUUUGGGUAUAGGGGCGAAAGACUAAUCGAACCAUCUAGUAGCUGGUUCCUGC